UACACUCCUGCGGGAGGCAGCAGUGGGGAAUAUUGGACAAUGGGCGCAAGCCUGAUCCAGCCAUGCCGCGUGAGUGAUGAAGGCCCUAGGGUUGUAAAGCUCUUUCACCGGAGAAGAUAAUGACGGUAUCCGGAGAAGAAGCCCCGGCUAACUUCGUGCCAGCAGCCGCGGUAAUACGAAGGGGGCUAGCGUUGUUCGGAAUUACUGGGCGUAAAGCGCACGUAGGCGGAUCGAUCAGUCAGGGGUGAAAUCCCAGGGCUCAACCCUGGAACUGCCUUUGAUACUGUCGAUCUGGAGUAUGGAAGAGGUGAGUGGAAUUCCGAGUGUAGAGGUGAAAUUCGUAGAUAUUCGGAGGAACACCAGUGGCGAAGGCGGCUCACUGGUCCAUUACUGACGCUGAGGUGCGAAAGCGUGGGGAGCAAACAGGAUUAGAAACCCUAGUAGUCCCA
RNAcentral lists this ribosomal RNA (449 nucleotides) under uncultured organism. RNAcentral describes it as "partial 16S ribosomal RNA". It matches the Rfam family "Bacterial small subunit ribosomal RNA", at positions 332 to 797 of the family's 1533-position model. The record is from RNAcentral.